UCAUCUGGAUCAGACCUAAAUCCUAAGCCGGCAGCCACAAAUGAAGAAUAUCAGAAACCCUAAUGAAGCUCAUAGAUGUUUACUGCGAUGAGGUGACGUGCUGGUCGAUUUUGCCUUCCCAAUCAAAGCAAAGGGGCACAACUUCUUUUCACGUCGACACAACAAAGGCCCUUAAACGUGAAAAGAAGUCUUGCACCUUUCAUUUGCAAGUUUUGGAUCGCAAAUUCGUCCAACACAUCAUCUGCAUCGUAGCCGACAUCUGCAAAUUCUUGCUGGUUUUGUGAAAUUUGAGGAGGUUGCUGGUGAUUUGUGUUAGGCUGGAUUUCAUAUUGUACCUGAAUGGCAGGUUAUGUAAGCAUUUCUUCAAUUGCCAGGCCAAAAUACUUCCAUUGAAUGAGGCUCUUAAUGAAUUGUAUUGAAGUUGAUUAGCUUCUGUGUUAAUUUUUCUUUCUCUUAAUGCAGUGAAGCAAGAAGUAGAACAAAACACCUUUUCUGAAAUUAGUUUACCAAAAUGAUGGCCUUUAGGGACUCAGUAUAUGAAAGCCAGAAUGGUUUCUACCAAUUAUUGGACAGAGUCUUGAAAUGAGCUUGUGUAAAACAUGUUGGAGACUCCAAUGGCCUAGUUUGGAACUUACCGACAUUGUAUCCCAUCAUGUACAAAAAAGCAGUAGUCUGGAACUGUGUAUAUCAUUAUAUGAAUUGUAAAGUUUCACAGCCAAAAUUUACAAUUGCAAUGUCAUUUUGCACUGAAUCAAA
Rosa chinensis is the source of this 756-nucleotide long non-coding RNA. RefSeq lists it as uncharacterized. The record is from RefSeq and is a predicted model, not a curated record. The transcript has 2 exons. Lineage: Eukaryota; Viridiplantae; Streptophyta; Magnoliopsida; Rosales; Rosaceae.